Non-coding RNA from Schistosoma haematobium, 46 nucleotides. Lineage: Eukaryota; Metazoa; Platyhelminthes; Trematoda; Strigeidida; Schistosomatidae. The record is from Rfam.
GCACAGUUGAGGAGUCUCACAAUAGGACGAAACGGUCGUGCAGUAC